This 301-nucleotide ribosomal RNA is filed under the name uncultured bacterium. RNAcentral describes it as "partial 16S ribosomal RNA". It matches the Rfam family "Bacterial small subunit ribosomal RNA", at positions 509 to 809 of the family's 1533-position model. The record is from RNAcentral.
CAGUAGCCGCGGUAAUACGUAGGGUGCAAGCGUUAAUCGGAAUUACUGGGCGUAAAGCGUGCGCAGGCGGUUAUAUAAGACAGAUGUGAAAUCCCCGGGCUCAACCUGGGAACUGCAUUUGUGACUGUAUAGCUAGAGUACGGCAGAGGGGGAUGGAAUUCCGCGUGUAGCAGUGAAAUGCGUAGAUAUGCGGAUGAACACCGAUGGCGAAGGCAAUCCCCUGGGCCUGUACUGACGCUCAUGCACGAAAGCGUGGGGAGCAAACAGGAUUAGAUACCCCCGUAGUCCCUGUCUCUUAUAU